RNAcentral lists this ribosomal RNA (328 nucleotides) under uncultured eukaryote. Its description in RNAcentral is "partial 18S ribosomal RNA". It matches the Rfam family "Eukaryotic small subunit ribosomal RNA", at positions 1470 to 1796 of the family's 1831-position model. The record is from RNAcentral.
CCCUUAGAUGCUCUGGGCCGCACGCGCGCUACACUGGUCGAUGCAACGAGUUUCUUUCCUUGGCCGACAGGCCUGGGCAAUCUUUGAACAUCGAUCGUGAUCGGGAUAGAUUCUUGUAAUUUUUGAUCUUAAACGAGGAAUUCCUAGUAAACGCAAGUCAUCAGCUUGCAUUGAUUACGUCCCUGCCCUUUGUACACACCGCCCGUCGCACCUACCGAUUGAAUGGUCCGGUGAAGGCUCCGGAGGCGUCUUUCUCAAUGUUUAUUCGGCGAGAUUGGUGCCAAAGUUGAAUGAACCUUACCAUUUAGAGGAAGGUGAAGUCGUAACA